This 253-nucleotide ribosomal RNA is filed under the name uncultured bacterium. Its description in RNAcentral is "partial 16S ribosomal RNA". It matches the Rfam family "Bacterial small subunit ribosomal RNA", at positions 524 to 776 of the family's 1533-position model. The record is from RNAcentral.
UACGGAGGGGACUAGCGUUGUUCGGAAUUACUGGGCGUAAAGCGCACGUAGGCGGAUUUGUAAGUCAGGGGUGAAAUCCCGGGGCUCAACCUCGGAACUGCCUUUGAUACUGCAAAUCUCGAGUCCGGAAGAGGUGAGUGGAAUUCCUAGUGUAGAGGUGAAAUUCGUAGAUACUAGGAAGAACACCAGUGGCGAAGGCGGCUCACUGGUCCGGUACUGACGCUGAGGUGCGAAAGCGUGGGGAGCAAACAGG